This is a long non-coding RNA of Acanthopagrus latus (yellowfin seabream), 1804 nucleotides long. RefSeq lists it as uncharacterized. The transcript has 2 exons. Lineage: Eukaryota; Metazoa; Chordata; Actinopteri; Spariformes; Sparidae. The record is from RefSeq and is a predicted model, not a curated record.
AAUAACUGCCUGCUCACCCGCAAAAACAGGGAUCAGCUCAAACGCACCACAUACUUCACAACAGCAGACCCAGGAUGUUGAAGAUGUCAGGAAGAGUCACCAGUUGCUGUGUUGCUCUGCUCCUUUUUCUGACCUCUGUGUCAGCUGCACACAAAAAGCUCAAUUCAAUCAAUGACUUGAAGAAAAUCAACUUUGGCCAAUCAGUGCCCAAGCACAGUCUUAUGCUGCUUCACUGGUUUGCCAACGUAGUUGACAUCAACCAUAACAAUGUCAUGCGGCUGACAUUUGACCCAAAUAGUGGAGAUUAUGGCUCACAUCAUUACGGCAACUAUGAAGGACUGUUGGACCCCCUGCCUCAAGGAUUCCGGUACUACACUGUUGGCAAUCUCUAUCAAGACACGUCUUUUCAACUUCCAGAUUACGUUGUCAAUCCCCCAAUGGAGUACGAGGGAGAAAACAUGGACAGGAUCAUAAUUAGAGUCCGGGGGCAGAGGAUAGACCAAGUGUACAUCACACAGCAUUAUGACACUUCUGAGUAUCAGGGGACACUUUAUGAUCCAGAUCAUACCUACCAGAUCACCGUUAAUCUUUUAAGACAGAUCAGAGAGUUUUCUGUGAGAGAUGGCCAAUGGCCACUGUUGAGCCUCAGCAACCGCUUUAGAAUCAACGCUGAUGAUGCCCACAUCAGACACACAUGGGGUAACCUCGCUUGCCUUGGACUAUUCUUGUUUAUUGUGAUCAAUAGCAAUAGCAAUCAGAAGCACUCCUCAAACCAAAGCAACAACAAACCAGAAAACAACAACAAACCACAAAAGCGACAAAAUGAUUGUGUUGAUGUUUUGCUGAUCUGCUGUAUAUUUAUUUUAUCAAUGUAUUUUAUUUCUAUUUUUUAUAAGAGAUGAGAAGAAGGGAGACCAGUGUUUCUAGAUUUGUCCAAACCAAGGUGUGCUGCUGUUGUUUUACAAGGAUAAUAAGAGCCAUGAAACCAGCAUGACCUGUUAUUGGGAACAGCGAAUCAGGCAGUUACAUAAGGAACCAAGGAUGUGUCUUAUUUACAAUUACUAUUUUGCCAUUAAAAACAAAUUCUAAACUGAAAAAGGAAACAAUGGUAAUGAAACAUUUGUACUCGAAAACCUCGAUAGACACUGAAUAGUUCCACUGAAAAAUAAAACGCACGUAAAAAAAAUCCAACCUGAAACAGUUUCUGGAUCCAAACAAAUCCAGAGUGAAUAUAACACCAUCUUUAGAUGACUUAUUUACAAUUUUUAUAAUAACAAUAGUUCUGUUCAUCUGUCCCAUUCUCUUUUUUUUCAUACAUUUCUUCAAAUGUGACAGAAGCAUCCACUAAAGGACGCACUGAUUAGAUUCAGGUGGCCAAAAGGUCAAAGUCACUGUGACCUCGUAAAAUCACUUUCUGGAAAAUGUCUGGAAAAACCACAAUAACAUAAAAAAAGAUCACAACCAUGAUGACACAUUAUAUUUUCAGUAUUACUGUUAAAAAUAGCAGCUUUUUUCUUAAAUAUUGCAGAAAUUCGUCUUUAUUACAAGAGUAUGUUAGCUGAGCAAAAGUAUUUUAAUUGUUAUUAUAGUCUACUGCUCUGGUAUGGUAAAGCUUCAUGUUUCAUCCAUUUAACCAUAUCUAAUCCAACAGUAGUGACUCACUAUUUCAUCCUGUGUCUGAUAGAGAUGAAGAGAAUGUACUUGAUCUGAUGGAUAAAAUAAAUCGAAGGAGAAGCUUUGUGGUCUGAUAUGGACAACCUGCCUUGAUUAUGUAAUGCUUUAAAUAAAACCAGAAUAUACUUCA